Molecule: long non-coding RNA, 1048 nt
Filed under: Mus musculus (house mouse)
Lineage: Eukaryota; Metazoa; Chordata; Mammalia; Rodentia; Muridae
Description: predicted gene, 17634, transcript variant 3 (Gm17634)
Source: RNAcentral
AUGAGGCGAGCUCCCGGGACCAGAGCUCCAGGGGGCAUCCCAGGACUCCGAGGAACCAGAGUCAGCUGCCAUGACCCCAUCGCGCUCCCAACUCAAAGCAAAGCCCGAGGAAAACCCAACUCCCGGGACCACCUCCUCGAGAGACGCCUCUCCAGCUCCGCACUCCUUUAACCAAACAAACCACCCCAAUCAUAGUCCAGGAAGAACCUCCAGUUAUAUCUCAGGCUACCGUUGCCCUUUCCCGCUUUCUCCUAGGCACAGCCUUCCACGCGAGUCCCCUCUGCACCCGGGACCUGGGAGCACACUGAACAGGAAAACAAACCGAAACUCACUGACCUCUCUCAGCAGCAGGCUCGGCUCUGUUACGCCGCCGGCGGCUGCAGCAACGUCGGAAGCAUCCCGGGGGUCCGCACUGCCCGCUGCGCUCUGCUAGACGAGCGCUGAGGGCCGGCUGCUGCCUGCUCCUCCCGCCGCAGGUUGCGGGGCAGCGCGGGCAGAGUGGCGGCAGCGCCUCCCGCAGCCCAGCCCUGCUCGUCUCUCCUUUGGCUUCAGGCGGCGCCCUCCACCUGCCCGGCUGUCCUCCGCCUCCACGAUCGGACACCCGCCGCCAGGCACCGGACACUGAGCGGAAGCUUUUGGUGUCACCCCCAGAGACCCAAGCACUGAAGGGAGCGGGAGGCUGAGUGAGCUCUGCUCCGCGGACCGCCCCUCCCCGGCGGCUCCACCCCCUCCCGCACUCCACCCGGCAGCUUGGCCGGCACGUCCGACUGUCUGUCUGUCGGUCGGUCCCCAGUGGCCAACCUCUUGGUGUGGGUGGGGAAGCAGGGACGCGCCCUCUACCCACCGUAGACCAGCGAGCACCUGGACCGAGCACGGAAGGAGGACCUGAACGGUAUCAGACCCAGAGCUAUCUAAGGACAAUGUUAUCUCAUCUCAAAAAGAAAAGAAAAGAAAAGAAGAGAAGAGAAGAGAAGAGAAGAGAAGAGAAGAGAAGAGAAGAGAAAGAAAGAAAAGAAGAAGAAAAAUAGCAAAGUAUUUUGAGUACUUC